UACGAAGGGGGCUAGCGUUGCUCGGAAUCACUGGGCGUAAAGCGCACGUAGGCGGAUUGCUAAGUCAGGGGUGAAAUCCUGGAGCUCAACUCCAGAACUGCCUUUGAUACUGGCAAUCUCGAGUCCGGGAGAGGUGAGUGGAACUGCGAGUGUAGAGGUGAAAUUCGUAGAUAUUCGCAAGAACACCAGUGGCGAAGGCGGCUCACUGGCCCGUAACUGACGCUGAGGCACGAAAGCGUGGGGAGCAAACAGG
Molecule: ribosomal RNA, 253 nt
Filed under: uncultured bacterium
Lineage: Bacteria
Description: partial 16S ribosomal RNA
Rfam family: Bacterial small subunit ribosomal RNA
Source: RNAcentral